This 69-nucleotide transfer RNA is filed under the name Pristimantis sp. 1 CC-2012. RNAcentral's name for it is "tRNA-Val". It matches the Rfam family "tRNA". Rfam says of the family: Transfer RNA (tRNA) molecules are approximately 80 nucleotides in length. Their secondary structure includes four short double-helical elements and three loops (D, anti-codon, and T loops). Lineage: Eukaryota; Metazoa; Chordata; Amphibia; Anura; Strabomantidae. The record is from RNAcentral.
UAGAGUAUAGCUUAAUUAAAGCACUUCGCUUACACCGAAAUGAAGCCCAUUAAAUACGGACUACUCUAA